This 402-nucleotide ribosomal RNA is filed under the name Scheffersomyces sp. BG090807.3.9.3.1.2. RNAcentral describes it as "eukaryotic LSU rRNA". It matches the Rfam family "Eukaryotic large subunit ribosomal RNA", at positions 97 to 496 of the family's 3401-position model. Lineage: Eukaryota; Fungi; Ascomycota; Pichiomycetes; Serinales; Debaryomycetaceae. The record is from RNAcentral.
AGCGACAAAAGCUCAAAUUUGAAAUCUGGCACCUUCGGUGUCCGAGUUGUAAUUUGAAGAAGGUAACUUUGGAGUUGGCUCUUGUCUAUGUUCCUUGGAACAGGACGUCACAGAGGGUGAGAAUCCCGUGCGAUGAGAUGUCCAACUCUAUGUAAGCGCUUUCGAAGAGUAGAGUUGUUUGGGAAUGCAGCUCUAAGUGGGUGGUAAAUUCCAUCUAAAGCUAAAUAUUGGCGAGAGACCGAUAGCGAACAAGUACAGUGAUGGAAAGAUGAAAAGAACUUUGAAAAGAGAGUGAAAAAGUACGUGAAAUUGUUGAAAGGGAAGGGUUUGAGAUCAGACUUGGUAUUUUGUAUGUCUUGCUUUCGGGUGGGGCCUCUGCAGUUUACUGGGCCAGCAUCGGUU